AGCAUUCACAAUUAUUGGUACUUAGGGUGCAAUACCGUCUUUCCCCAAACAACACAGAAUGACUAGCAUUCACAAUUAUAGGUACUUAGGGUGCAAUACCGUCUUUCCCCAAACAACACAGAAUGACUAGCAUUCACAAUUAUAGGUACUUAGGGUGCAAUACCGUCUUUCCCCAAACAACACAGAAUGACUAGCAUUCACAAUUAUAGGUACUUAGGGUGCAAUACCGUCUUUCCCCAAACAACACAGAAUGACUAGCAUUCACAAUUAUAGGUACUUAGGGUGCAAUACCGUCUUUCCCCAAACAACACAGAAUGACUAGCAUUCACAAUUAUAGGUACUUAGGGUGCAAUACCGUCUUUCCCCAAACAACACUGAAU
Mytilus californianus (California mussel) is the source of this 380-nucleotide long non-coding RNA. RefSeq lists it as uncharacterized. NCBI's taxonomy places the organism in Eukaryota, Metazoa, Mollusca, Bivalvia, Mytilida, Mytilidae. The record is from RefSeq and is a predicted model, not a curated record. The transcript has 5 exons.